AUAACAGCUGGAAACGGCUGCUAAUACCGCAUAAGCGCACGAAGCUGCAUGGCUUUGUGUGAAAAACUCCGGUGGUAUGGGAUGGGCCCGCGUCUGAUUAGGCAGUUGGCGGGGUAACGGCCCACCAAACCGACGAUCAGUAGCCGGCCUGAGAGGGCGACCGGCCACAUUGGGACUGAGACACGGCCCAAACUCCUACGGGAGGCAGCAGUGGGGAAUAUUGCACAAUGGGGGAAACCCUGAUGCAGCGACGCCGCGUGAGCGAAGAAGUAUUUCGGUAUGUAAAGCUCUAUCAGCAGGGAAGAUAAUGACGGUACCUGACUAAGAAGCCCCGGCUAACUACGUGCCAGCAGCCGCGGUAAUACGUAGGGGGCAAGCGUUAUCCGGAUUUACUGGGUGUAAAGGGAGCGUAGACGGCAAGGCAAGUCUGAUGUGAAAACCCAGGGCUUAACCCUGGGACUGCAUUGGAAACUGUCUGGCUCGAGUGCCGGAGAGGUAAGCGGAAUUCCUAGUGUAGCGGUGAAAUGCGUAGAUAUUAGGAAGAACACCAGUGGCGAAGGCGGCUUACUGGACGGUAACUGACGUUGAGGCUCGAAAGCGUGGGGAGCAAACAGGACUAGAUACCCUGGUAGUCCACGCUGUAAAC
Molecule: ribosomal RNA, 646 nt
Filed under: uncultured bacterium
Lineage: Bacteria
Description: bacterial SSU rRNA
Rfam family: Bacterial small subunit ribosomal RNA
Source: RNAcentral